GUGGGGAAUUUUGCGCAAUGGGCGAAAGCCUGACGCAGCAACGCCGCGUGGAGGAUGAAGGUCUUCGGAUUGUAAACUCCUGUCAGCAGGGAAGAAGGCUUCCGGCCGAAUACGUCGGGAGAUUGACUGUACCUGCAGAGGAAGCCCCGGCUAACUCUGUGCCAGCAGCCGCGGUAAUACAGAGGGGGCAAGCGUUAUUCGGAAUUAUUGGGCGUAAAGGGCGCGUAGGCGGCGCGACAAGUGGCGGGUGAAAUCCCUCGGCUCAACCGAGGAACUGCCCUCCAGACUGUCGUGCUUGAGUCCGGGAGAGGUGAGUGGAAUUCCCAGUGUAGCGGUGAAAUGCGUAGAUAUUGGGAGGAACACCGGUGGCGAAGGCGGCUCACUGGACCGGUACUGACGCUGAGGCGCGAAAGCGUGGGGAGCAAACGGGAUUAGAUACCCGUGUAGUCC
Molecule: ribosomal RNA, 450 nt
Filed under: uncultured bacterium
Lineage: Bacteria
Description: bacterial SSU rRNA
Rfam family: Bacterial small subunit ribosomal RNA
Source: RNAcentral